Molecule: transfer RNA, 88 nt
Filed under: Patescibacteria group bacterium
Lineage: Bacteria
Description: tRNA-Ser
Rfam family: tRNA
About the family: Transfer RNA (tRNA) molecules are approximately 80 nucleotides in length. Their secondary structure includes four short double-helical elements and three loops (D, anti-codon, and T loops).
Source: RNAcentral
GGAGGGUUGGCUGAGCGGGUUAAAGCAACAGUCUUGAAAACUGUCGGACCUCCGGGUCCCGUGGGUUCGAAUCCCACACCCUCCUCCA